Triticum aestivum (bread wheat) is the source of this 115-nucleotide non-coding RNA. NCBI's taxonomy places the organism in Eukaryota, Viridiplantae, Streptophyta, Magnoliopsida, Poales, Poaceae. The record is from Rfam.
AAACUACUCCCUCCGUCCGAAAAAACUUGUCUUUCAAAUAGAUGUAUUUAGCACCAAGUUAGUGCUAGAUACAUCCAUUUAAGGGACAAGCAUUUUCGGAUGAAGGGAGUAUCAA